This 301-nucleotide ribosomal RNA is filed under the name uncultured bacterium. Its description in RNAcentral is "partial 16S ribosomal RNA". It matches the Rfam family "Bacterial small subunit ribosomal RNA", at positions 509 to 808 of the family's 1533-position model. The record is from RNAcentral.
CAGUCGCCACGGUAAUACGGAGGGGGCUAGCGUUGUUCGGAAUUACUGGGCGUAAAGCGCACGUAGGCGGCUUGGUAAGUUAGAGGUGAAAGCCCGGAGCUCAACUCCGGAAUUGCCUUUAAGACUGCCGAGCUAGUAGGUGAGAGAGGUAAGUGGAAUUCCGAGUGUAGAGGUGAAAUUCGUAGAUAUUCGGAAGAACGCCAGUGGCGAAGGCGGCUUACUGGCUCAUUCUAGACGCUGAGGUGCGAAAGCGUGGGGAGCAAACAGGAUUAGAUACCCCAGUAGUCCCUGUCUCUUAACA